Molecule: long non-coding RNA, 1383 nt
Filed under: Canis lupus familiaris (dog)
Lineage: Eukaryota; Metazoa; Chordata; Mammalia; Carnivora; Canidae
Description: lncRNA (ENSCAFG00845009488.1)
Source: RNAcentral
CCUGAGAAAUACUUUAACUGGAUAAUCUUGUGACAUGAAAAAAUGAUCAGCCUCAGAUUUCCAAUCCAUCACAGGUCACUGUGAUAACCUAAGUUAUGUCUGGAUGGUCAACAGACUGAUUCCUGUUGGCAUAUGUUUUACUGAGAAACAGCAGGGAGAAUAGUAGCAUCUUUAAAGCUAUGCUGAAAUUUUCAUGCCACUUUAACACUUUAUUUUGGAAAUAGUUAAAUCUUAAAGGAUUUGCAUAGUAUUUCUUCACAUGUGAUUCUCAGACCAGCUAUAUCAUCAUCAACAAUAAAUCCUGGGCACAUCCCAGUUCUAUCCAACUAGAAUAUCUGGGGAUGGAGCACUAAGAUCUGUAUUUUUAAGUAUCCCAGAUGGUUUUUGUUUUUUAAUUAUGGCCAGCCAAGUCCAUUUGGUACAUUACAUUUGAGAAAACUUGACUUCUGGUGGCCAGUUCUGCCAAUUGCUGAUUAUGUCGCCUUGCAAAAUUUACUUUGGAUCUCGGUUUUACUUGAGCAAUGAAGGAGCUUAACUGGAUAAAUCAAGUUUUCUUACAGUCUUGGAAUACAAUUCAAAUGCUGACAUAUGUCUUUAAACAGAUGUCCCUGAUCCACUAACAGUGGGUAAUAAUACCAGCCCAAAUAUCCUACCUGGGUGGAAAGAGCAAUUUGGUCUGAUGUAUCUGAGAUCUCAUUGUUUGAAGUUGGGUUUUCACCCCUGUGUUUAUUUCCUCAUGCCUCUGUAGAACCCACCGACAAAUGUUUAUUCUAGAAGUGGUAAUGUUGUUUUUCUGGUUUCUUUAGACCCCAAACACUCUGCAAAGGGACUAUUUUGAUAAAUAUCUCUGUACAAUAAACAUAUAUCAGAGAACCUCUUGAUUUUGGAACUAAAAUAUUUUAUAGUAUUUUAGACUAGAUAUCUUAUUUUGUAGUGAUUUUUAGUCUUACUGAAAAUAAUUUAAUGUGUUUUAAGAUAAAGCUUAGGUUUAGUUUGCAAUUUUGCAGAAAGAAUUACAUACUGAAUAGAAGAUAGUCUUUGAUUUUUUUAGUAAUGUGUUACCUAGUACUUAGCUCUUUUUAUCUGGAUAUAUAAACCCAACCAACAGCAAAGGAUUCAAUAUAUUUUCAUGUGUCAGUAUUAUCAUCUGUUUAAUAUUUAGUAAAUGAGCUCUUUUUAAAGAAACAAUAGUAAUGCUUUACUGAUAGUUAUCCUAUUGUGUCCAAAAAGGAGAAAUACAUGUAAGAACAUUCAAAUUUUUAGUACUAGUGUUCAAUAAGUUUCUAAAAGGAUGAAUUUAAAUUUCAAUUCUAGGUUCCUAAGUUAUAUGACUUAACUGUGUAUCAAAAAAUCUACACUAAAAUGUCAACUUCAUAAUAUCAU